This 442-nucleotide ribosomal RNA is filed under the name uncultured bacterium. Its description in RNAcentral is "partial 16S ribosomal RNA". It matches the Rfam family "Bacterial small subunit ribosomal RNA", at positions 338 to 795 of the family's 1533-position model. The record is from RNAcentral.
CCUACGGGAGACAGCAGUGGGGAAUAUUGGGCAAUGGACGCAAGCCUGACCCAGCAACGCCGCGUGAAGGAAGAAGGCUUUCGGGUUGUAAACUUCUUUUGUCAGGGAAGAGUAGAAGACGGUACCUGACGAAUAAGCCACGGCUAACUACGUGCCAGCAGCCGCGGUAAUACGUAGGUGGCAAGCGUUGUCCGGAUUUACGGGGUGUAAAGGGCGUGUAGCCGGGUUGACAAGUCAGAUGUGAAAUCCUGAGGCUUAACCGCAGAACUGCAUUUGAAACUGUUGAUCUUGAGUACUGGAGAGGCAGACGGAAUGUCUGGUGUAGCGGUGAAAUGCGUAGAUAUUAGGAAGAACACCGGUGGCGAAGGCGGUCUGCUGGACAGCAACUGACGGUGAGGCGCGAAAGCGUGGGGAGCAAACAGGAUUAGAUACCCCUGUAGUC